Molecule: long non-coding RNA, 851 nt
Organism: Pogoniulus pusillus (Red-fronted tinkerbird)
Lineage: Eukaryota; Metazoa; Chordata; Aves; Piciformes; Lybiidae
Exons: 3
Source: RefSeq, a predicted model, not a curated record
UAAUUUCUGCUGCUAAUUCUUUAGGCUAUUUUUGCUUCUGUUCUGCUUUUGUCUCACCUGUGCUUUACUCAUUACAACUGAACAAAUUAACCUGAUGAGCACCAGUUUGUACAUCUGCAUGCUCAGUUCACUCUCAGCAUCACACAUGCAGUAUUAGAAGCACUGAUUCAUUCUUGUCAUAUAAAAAUUACAUUCAGUGACUGAGAGGCUUGUUUCUGUAAGUUCUGACAUUACAAGAAGCUUUUGCUAACAGUUUCUUCACCCUGCAAUCUUAGAUAUCUGUGCUAGAGAUGCAUGCAGAAAAAUACUGUGUUUUCCAUGUACUGCACUCAUGGACUAUACCUGAGAAAGCAACAAGUUUAUCUGCCCAGCAAUGUGGGUUAGGUUCCUGUUGGGGUGGAUAUGCAUGGCAAAGUGCAGGUCCAUUAGCAGGUUGCAAAUUAACACCUGCAGCUCCUUGCUCCUGUUUGGGCUGUUAGGGAGCUAAUGAGUGUGGGCAGAAGAUUGCCUGAGGUUUCUUACAGGUCUGGAAGUCAGACCUACAUCGUUUGUGAGCCUGUUGCCAGGCUAGCCCUGCAGCUGAGGAGAUGCUGGUGAAGAGCCUAUGUUCUGCAAGGAGAGGAAGAAGACAGAGAGGCUUCAUUAAUGGAGCAGGAGAGAAGCAGACAGUCUAAUUCUGUAGAACUAGUGCUCAUCUGAUCUGCAGGGAACACUACAUGUCACCUCCACAGCCUGCCCUGCUGAUGAGCUCCAGUCUGCUCUGCAAGGGAUGAGCUUGCCUUAUGCUUUUCAGAUCACCUGGUCAGUCUGUUUGCUGGCAAGACUUUUAUCCAGGUUCUCCAAAGGUAUGC